RNAcentral lists this ribosomal RNA (253 nucleotides) under uncultured bacterium. Its description in RNAcentral is "partial 16S ribosomal RNA". It matches the Rfam family "Bacterial small subunit ribosomal RNA", at positions 524 to 776 of the family's 1533-position model. The record is from RNAcentral.
UACGGAGGGUGCGAGCGUUGUCCGGAAUCACUGGGCGUAAAGGGCGCGUAGGCGGUGCGACAAGGCGGCGGUGAAAGUCCGGGGCUCAACCCCGGAUCGGCCGUGGCGACUGUCGCGCUCGAGCACAGUAGAGGCGGGUGGAAUUCCGGGUGUAGCGGUGGAAUGCGUAGAGAUCCGGAAGAACACCGGUGGCGAAGGCGGCCCGCUGGGCUGUGGCUGACGCUGAGGCGCGACAGCGUGGGGAGCAAACAGG